Molecule: ribosomal RNA, 254 nt
Filed under: uncultured bacterium
Lineage: Bacteria
Description: partial 16S ribosomal RNA
Rfam family: Bacterial small subunit ribosomal RNA
Source: RNAcentral
UACGUAGGGGGCAAGCGUUGUCCGGAAUUAUUGGGCGUAAAGAGCGCGUAGGCGGUCCGAUAAGUCGGCUGUGAAAGUCAGGGGCUCAACCCUUGAAAGCCGGCCGAUACUGUCGGACUAGAGUCCGGAAGAGGCAAGUGGAAUUCCCGGUGUAGGCGGUGAAAUGCGCAGAUAUCGGGAGGAACACCAAUGGCGAAGGCAGCUUGCUGGGACGGUACUGACGCUGAGGCGCGAAAGCGUGGGGAGCAAACAGG